Molecule: ribosomal RNA, 611 nt
Filed under: Salmonella enterica
Lineage: Bacteria; Pseudomonadati; Pseudomonadota; Gammaproteobacteria; Enterobacterales; Enterobacteriaceae
Description: partial 23S ribosomal RNA
Rfam family: Bacterial large subunit ribosomal RNA
Source: RNAcentral
CACAGGUUUACCUGUGUGACUGCGUACCUUUUGUAUAAUGGGUCAGCGACUUAUAUUCUGUAGCAAGGUUAACCGUAUAGGGGAGCCGUAGGGAAACCGAGUCUUAACCGGGCGUUAAGUUGCAGGGUAUAGACCCGAAACCCGGUGAUCUAGCCAUGGGCAGGUUGAAGGUUGGGUAACACUAACUGGAGGACCGAACCGACUAAUGUUGAAAAAUUAGCGGAUGACCUGUGGCUGGGGGUGAAAGGCCAAUCAAACCGGGAGAUAGCUGGUUCUCCCCGAAAGCUAUUUAGGUAGCGCCUCGUGAAUUCAUCUCCGGGGGUAGAGCACUGUUUCGGCUAGGGGGCCAUCCCGGCUUACCAACCCGAUGCAAACUGCGAAUACCGGAGAAUGUUAUCACGGGAGACACACGGCGGGUGCUAACGUCCGUCGUGAAGAGGGAAACAACCCAGACCGCCAGCUAAGGUCCCAAAGUCAUGGUUAAGUGGGAAACGAUGUGGGAAGGCCCAGACAGCCAGGAUGUUGGCUUAGAAGCAGCCAUCAUUUAAAGAAAGCGUAAUAGCUCACUGGUCGAGUCGGCCUGCGCGGAAGAUGUAACGGGGCUAAACCAU